CGGCGAGUGAAGCGGCAACAGCUCAAAUUUGAAAUCUGGCUCUUUUAGGGUCCGAGUUGUAAUUUGCAGAGGGCGCUUUGGCGUUGGCAGCGGUCCAAGUUCUUUGGAACAGGACGUCACAGAGGGUGAGAAUCCCGUACGUGGUCGCUAGCCUUCGCCGUGUAAAGCCCCUUCGACGAGUCGAGUUGUUUGGGAAUGCAGCUCUAAAUGGGAGGUAAAUUUCUUCUAAAGCUAAAUACUGGCCAGAGACCGAUAGCGCACAAGUAGAGUGAUCGAAAGAUGAAAAGCACUUUGGAAAGAGAGUCAAAUAGCACGUGAAAUUGUUGAAAGGGAAGCGCUUGCAGCCAGACUUGCCUGUAGUUGCUUAUCUAGACUUUUGUCUAGUGCACUCUUCUGCGGGCAGGCCAGCAUCAGUUUAGGCGGUUGGAUAAAGGUCUCUAUCACGUACCUCCCUUCGGGGUUGGCCUUAUAGGGGAGACGACAUGCAGCCAGCCUGAACUGAGGUCCGCGCAUCUGCUAGGAUGCUGGCGUAAUGGCUGUAAGCGGCCCGUCUUGAAACACGGACCAAGGAGUCUAACAUCUAUG
RNAcentral lists this ribosomal RNA (585 nucleotides) under Phaeosphaeriaceae sp. RNAcentral describes it as "partial large subunit ribosomal RNA". It matches the Rfam family "Eukaryotic large subunit ribosomal RNA", at positions 87 to 686 of the family's 3401-position model. RNAcentral also lists the same sequence under 1 other name. Lineage: Eukaryota; Fungi; Ascomycota; Dothideomycetes; Pleosporales; Phaeosphaeriaceae. The record is from RNAcentral.